CCUACGGGAGGCAGCAGUGGGGAAUUUUCCGCAAUGGGCGAAAGCCUGACGGAGCAAUACCGCGUGAGGGAGGAAGGUCUUUGGAUUGUAAACCUCUUUUCUCAGGGAAGAAUAUUGACGGUACCUGAG
Molecule: ribosomal RNA, 129 nt
Filed under: uncultured bacterium
Lineage: Bacteria
Description: partial 16S ribosomal RNA
Rfam family: Bacterial small subunit ribosomal RNA
Source: RNAcentral